AUUUUUUUGUUAAUUUAUUUUAAAUAAGGCCUGCCCAAUGACUCUUGUUAAAUGGCUGCAGUAUUUUGACUGUACAAAGGUAGCAUAAUAAUUUGUUUAAUAAUUUUAGACUUGAAUGAAAGGCUUUUUUAGAUUUAAUCUUUCUUUAUAUUAUUUAUAAGAAUUUAUUAUAUCAGUAAAAAUACUGAUAUAAUUUUAUAGGACGAAAAGACCCUAUAGAAUUUAAUAUUUCUAUAACUUAUAAGUUAUAGAAAUAUUAUGUUGGGGGGAUAAUAAUUAAUAUAAACAAUUUUUAUUUAUUUCAUUAAUUUAUGAUUUUUUGAUCCAAUUAUUUUGAUUAUAAGAUAAAAUUACCUUAGGGAUAACAGCGUAAUUUAUUUGGAGAGUUCUUAUUGAAAAAUUUAAGUUUGCGA
RNAcentral lists this ribosomal RNA (413 nucleotides) under Hoplonannus sp. UCR ENT 00076295. Its description in RNAcentral is "partial large subunit ribosomal RNA". Lineage: Eukaryota; Metazoa; Arthropoda; Insecta; Hemiptera; Schizopteridae. The record is from RNAcentral.